ACUGGACAGGGCUGUGAUGUUCUUGCAGACCCAGUGCUCUUCAUGGUGUCCAGUGUUUUCUGCAGCAAGUGAAAUUUUAAGGCUUAAAGAAGCAUAAGCCUGUACAGAAAGACACUUCACACUACUUUUGGCAUGACUUCAGUAUUUUGUGGCUGUUCCUGAGUGUGGUGUGAUGAGACUGGGAACACAGCUAUGCUCAUAGGAAGGAGGUUCAUUCAGUGAGCUGAGAGGCUGCUCCAACACUGGAAAUUAGAAUCUUCUGAAAAUGAACCCCAUUUAAAAGAGCUCUGGCAGACCUCUGAAGUCAUGUCAAGAUUUAGAAGCACAGCUGAAGGUCCCCAUAGUCCUCUGGGAGCAUGUGUUGAGCUUUGAGCACUCAGCCUUCUCCCUUUGCCUGUCCUUCCCUUUCAGAGUGGGAUGAACCUUUGACUUGCACCUCCAGGCCUGAACCCUGGAGCAGGUGC
Molecule: long non-coding RNA, 464 nt
Organism: Lepidothrix coronata (blue-crowned manakin)
Lineage: Eukaryota; Metazoa; Chordata; Aves; Passeriformes; Pipridae
Exons: 3
Source: RefSeq, a predicted model, not a curated record